RNAcentral lists this long non-coding RNA (594 nucleotides) under Salvia miltiorrhiza (redroot sage). Its description in RNAcentral is "long non-coding RNA (SMIL_LNC006315)". Lineage: Eukaryota; Viridiplantae; Streptophyta; Magnoliopsida; Lamiales; Lamiaceae. The record is from RNAcentral.
AAAUUUUGAUCCAAUAUUCCAAACAUGCUAAGCAGCACGCCUCUCCCAUUAUCUCUCAUUCACUUCAUCUUCUUGCUUCUCUCUCUAACUCUUACCUCGGCCGGUUGCCCCCAAAAAUGCGGGAAAUUGCAGUUCUCGUAUCCAUUCGGAGUGGGGCCAAAAUGCUCCAUGGAUCCAUCUUUCAACAUCAUAUGCAAGAAAACCAGAAACCAUUCAACACCUUACCUCAACAUAACCAACGGUAACAAAGUGCGCAUGCUCGAAAUCGUGGAAAUAAAACAGACUCAGAUACGGGUCAAGUACCCCUACCUCUUGGCUGCAACAUGCUACACUAACACGUCCGUCUACCCGCAUAACAACACACGUGACGGUUUCUACUCCAUCGACUUGACGGAUACUCAAUACUCCAUGUCGGAUAAGAACUGGCUCACUGCCAUCGGCUGCGAAGACAUCGUUGCCGGAUUCGGAGAGAACAAGAAUGUCUUCGCUGGCGGCUGCGUUUCGUACUGCCCCACGAGUGAGCCUCACGGGUUUGGGAGUUGCCCGAAUACUGAAAAUGGGUAUUCGGCGGGCAACGGUUGUUGCCGGACACCC